This 75-nucleotide transfer RNA is filed under the name Candidatus Portnoybacteria bacterium RIFCSPLOWO2_02_FULL_40_15. RNAcentral's name for it is "tRNA-Phe". It matches the Rfam family "tRNA". Rfam says of the family: Transfer RNA (tRNA) molecules are approximately 80 nucleotides in length. Lineage: Bacteria; Candidatus Portnoyibacteriota. The record is from RNAcentral.
GCCGGGGUAACUCACCGGUAGAGUGUCUCCCUGAAAAGGAGAAAGUAGUGGGUUCGACUCCCACCCCCGGCACCA